ACUGCUCAGUAACACGUGGACAAUCUGCCCUGAAGUGGAGGAUAAUCCCGGGAAACUGGGGGUAAUACUCCAUAGUUCGUGAUGACUGGAAUGUUUUGCGAACGAAAGAUCCGUCGCUUCAGGAUGAGUCUGCGGCCGAUUAGGUAGUUGUUGGGGUAACGGCCCAACAAGCCUGUCAUCGGUACGGGUUGUGGGAGCAAGAGCCCGGAGAUGGAUUCUGAGACACGAAUCCAGGCCCUACGGGGCGCAGCAGGCGCGAAAACUUUACCAUGCGGGCAACCGUGAUAAGGAAACCCCGAGUGCCAGCACAGGCUGGCUGUCCGCCAGUGUAAAUAACUGGUGAAGAAAGGGCCGGGCAAGACCGGUGCCAGCCGCCGCGGUAAUACCGGCGGCUCGAGUGGUGGCCACUAUUACUGGGCUUAAAGGGUCCGUAGCUUGAUGUACAAGUCUCUUGAGAAAUCCGCCGGCUUAACCGGUGGGCGUUCAGGGGAAACUGUAUUUCUAGGGACCGGGAGAGGUGAGAGGUACUGCCGGGGUAGGAGUGAAAUCCUGUAAUCCCGGUGGGACCACCUAUGGCGAAGGCAUCUCACCAGAACGGGUCCGACAGUGAGGGACGAAAGCUGGGGGAGCAAACCGGAUUAGAUACCCGGGUAGUCCCAGCUGUAAACGAUGCGCGUUAGGUGUGUCAGUGACCACGUGUCACUGAGGUGCCGAAGGGAAACCGUGAAACGCGCCGCCUGGGGAGUACGGUCGCAAGGCUGAAACUUAAAGGAAUUGGCGGGGGAGCAC
Molecule: ribosomal RNA, 789 nt
Filed under: uncultured archaeon
Lineage: Archaea
Description: bacterial SSU rRNA
Rfam family: Archaeal small subunit ribosomal RNA
Source: RNAcentral